ACUUCUAUCACUUCUCUUCAUAUUGAAGGGAUUCGCAAUGUGAGGGAGCUUCCUGAUGGGUUUCUGCAAAAUCAUACCCUCCUUGAAAGCUUAGACAUUUGGGGGAUGCGAGAUCUGGAGUCUUUGUCAAAUAGGGUAUUAGAUAACCUUUCUGCUCUUAAAAGCUUGGAGAUUUUUUAUUGCGGGAAACUUGAAAGCUUGCCAGAGGAAGGUCUUCGUAACCUCAAUUCCUUGGAGGUUUUAGAGAUACGGUGGUGUAGAAGAUUAAAUUGUCUGCCAAGGGAUGGGCUGUGUGGCUUAUCUUCUCUUCGCAAGUUAUCUAUUGGAAGUUGUGAUAAAUUCACAUCCCUAACUGAGGGAGUGCGGCAUCUGACGGCACUUGAGGAUUUGAGGCUUGCUGGAUGUCCAGAGCUGAAUUCAUUGCCAGAGAGUAUCCAACAUCUCACUUCUCUCCAAUCUCUAACCAUUGUGGAGUGUCCAAAUUUGAAGAAAAGGUGUGAGAAAGAUUUAGGAGAGGACUGGCCUAAGAUAACUCACAUUCCUAAGAUUAUAAUCGAUUUCAUUAGAAUCAAUUAAAAUUGAUAUGCAAAAUUUGUAAUGAGAAUAAAAUAUAUAUUUUCGUAGUUUUAAUUUGUUGUAAUUGUUUAAAUAAUUUUCUCAAAUUGAUUGUUGUUUUAUUAUUCAUAUAAAUGUGUAAAAAUGAUUGGUUCAUUAUUUGUUUUAAUUGAAACUUGUUUUACUAGUACUGUAAUAAGUAGUUUGUUUGGUCCAAGAGAUAUAAUCCUUUUAGCCAAUUAAGUAAUUUUUUGUUACUUGAAAACAAAACUUGUAUAAGAAAAUCAAUUGUUGAGGUUUCUCAACUAAAAUAUCAAUCUCAUAAACAUCCUUUUAGCCUUUAUGAAGACGUUAUUAAUUGAAACUAAUAAUAUUUUGCGUGCUUUGACAUAAACAAAUAAGUAUUUAUCAGCAAACAAAAAAAAAACUCAACAGAUUUCAAAUUCAAAAUAAUAUUACAAUCCAAUUAACAAAAUCCCUUAACUUAAAUAAAGGGCACAUCACAUCAAAUCAAUAAUUGAAAAAAAAAAUAAUAAUAAUAAUUGAAAAAAACACCACAUUAAUUACAAUUACAUUACCAUAAGAAAAUUCAAGUUGAUAAAUGUUGUCUUCAAAUCACAGCCAUGUUCCUUCUCUGAAACUUCAAUUGCUUUAAUAGAGGCAUAGCUAGUCAAGUCUGCACUGUGUAGAGCCCAAUCAAUAUAGUCAGAGGACCGCAGUUUUAAUAUUUUAAUAUAAUUAAAACACCACAUUAAUUACAAUUACAUUACCAUAAGAAAAGUCAAGUUGAUGAAUGUUGUCUUCAAAUCAUAGCCAUGAUGCUUCUCUGAAACUUAGCUAGUCAAGUAUGCAGUGUCGAGGUAAAUCUAAAAAAUAAUUAUAAAUUAGUAAAAUAUCAAUUUGUCCCUUUAAUAAUAUCCAUAUCUUAAUUCAAGAAAAUUUUAGAAAUUAACUUAAUCAAGUACUUAUUUGAUUUUUUAAGGUCUAGAAAUAUAAUCCUUAUAUUAAUUAUAUUUUAAUCGUUAAUUUUUAAAAUAUAUUUUAAUUAAGUCAUACUUAAUUAAAUCAUCCCAAUUUAAUUCCUACCUAGAGAUUUUUAAUGUGUGUGACUUAUUAAGUUUCUAAUAUGUUGACCAAAUAUAAAUUAUAAUUAAAUUAAAUUAAAUUAAUUAAAUAAUUUAAUUUAUUAUCAAUUCAACAAUUGAUUAAUUUAUAUUUAAAAACAAGGUAUAUCGUCUAUCAACAUGUCAUGAUUUUCUAAAUAUUAGAAAGUCAAUAGUGGUUUGACUUAACCUUCUAGUGACUUGUUUCUCAGUGUAAUUAAUAUUCUUUCAUCAAUAAUGUUUUGAUUUAAUAUUAAAGCAUGAAGUAUGUUUAUCAUGUUAAAUCAUGUUUAUUCUCUAUAUAAUAGUCAUGAAUCGUUUAAAUAAGAUUUUCAAAUCUCAUUUCACCUUAAUUAAGAAUUUCUCAGUCAAUACUAUUUGAGAACAGAUAAAAAAUAUAUAUUUUUUAAUUCACUUAGGGUAAUGAAUCCUCUCUUUACAACUCAAGUAUCUUUUUAUUUUUUAAGAAUAGUGAAGUGACAGAAUUGUCUUUAAAAUAAAAAAAAAUAUAUAAAUAUGGUUCAAAAGGGGGGGUUUUGUUAUUUUUGUUAUUUUUUUAUUUUUAGGUUGACCUAGGGGCUGUUUGAUAAUUUUAAAAAAUAAAUACUAUAAAAAAACUAUUGGCACAUGCAACUCACGUGUUAGCACAUGCAGGGUCGUCCGGUGACCAAAAUCAACCAUCUACGAUGAUGUUUGGAGUGGCGCAUUGUCCUCUUCGUAUUCACGAGAUGUGUGUUAACGGUAGAGGUGCGAUUGGGCUCUAAUGAGCUUUUCUUUUCUUUUCCUCUCUUUUUCUUUCUCUUAACUUAGAGAUUCAUGUCAGCCAAUCUGAAAAUUGAUUGUGUCCUCUUGUUUCUAUUUCUAUUAAUUUUAGUUCUCAUUCUUUUGAUUACUAUUUGUUUUGCUUGUAAUACUUUUUGAAUUUUUUUUUAAAAUUUCACACCUAAACAUUUUGUUUCAUAUAGUUUUUAUAUUCAAUUUAGUCCUCAUUCUUUUGAUUGUUUUUUUUUUUGUGUUUUACCCUUUUAUUGUUUUUUUUUUCAAUUUUAUCCCUCAUCAUUUUAUUUUCUUAGAUUUUUUUUAUUCAAAUUUAAUUCUUAUUCUUUUGAUUUCUGUUUUCUUAUUAUUUUCUUGGUUUUUUUAUUUUUAACCUAAACAUUUUAUUUCAUUUAAUUUCUUUAUCAAAUAAUGGUCCUCAUUCUUUUUAUUGCUAUUUUUUUAAUCUUUGUUCUUAUUUUAUUUUAUUUUUCAAUUUAAUCUCUAAUUAUUUUUUCUUUUGGUUUUUAUACCAUAUUUGAUCCUUAUUAUUUUGAUUACAAUUUUUUUUGUUUUGAAAAAAAUUAUGAUUGGAAAUUUUACUUCGUUAGUUUUUUUUGUGUUUACUUUUCUGCACGGUAAUCAUAUUCUCAUGAUCUGGAUCAUUGGUUUCGAAUAUUAGCCCAAUUUAAGUUAGGUCCUUUUUUUUGUCCUUUACUAAUUUGUUUUUUCAAUUUCAUCAUUUAACAUUGGAUUAUUGGGGCUUGAGCUUUGUUAUAUGUUCAACUUUUAUUUUUUUGAGUUUAUAUCAAUUUUAUAUCCCGGGUGGAGGGUUAGUUGAGUUAACCCAAGUUAACUCAAGGUUUUUUUUUCCUCGAAUUAUUUUUAAGAAAUUGUUUUUUUUUGUUAUUGACCCUUGAGCUUUGUGAUUCUCACUUUUUUUUUAUGUGUGGUCAUCCUAAAUGCGGGUUAAUCAAGUUAACUUGGUUUUUUUUAACGUUUCUUUUAUUUAACUUUAGUUUUUUAUUCUAGGUCCUUUUAAAAAAUAUAUAUAAUUUUUUUUUAUCCUGAUCUCAUAUUGUGGUUGGUAGGUUGGUCAAGUUAACCCAAGUUGACUUGAGUUUUUUUUUUUCAAUGUUACUUUUUCUUAAAAUUGAUUUUUUAAAAAUAUUUAUCAUUUGACAUUAGGUUAUUGGGCUUUGAGCUUUGUUAUGUUUUUUUUUUCACUUUCUUUUCUUCAGGGUAAUCUUGAUCUCAUAUCAUAUGUUGCGUGUAUAGUCAAGUUAACCCGUGUUGAUUGGGGUUAUAAUCGCCUGGACAUCUUUUAUUGAAUGAGAAAAAACUUAACCAAACCCGCAACGUGACGCCAAACAUCUACCUAUUCAUUAUUAAAAAGAGAUUUAUAGCAUAAGUGAAGCCGUGUUUGUUUUUGUGGUUGGACCAUAUUUUUUAAAAAAUUAAAUUUUUUAUUUUGCUUUCAAUUGAAUUUUUAAUAUUUUUGAAUCGUUUUAAUAUGUUUAUAUCAAAAAUAAAUUUUAAAAAAUAAAAUUAUUUUAAUGCAUUUUAAAAAAAAAUUCGCUGUUAAGAAACUUUGUAUAAUUACCAUCACCAAACACUUUCACCUUUUCCAUUUCUCAAUAAUUACUUGCCAUUUCUUGCUCGCAUCCCGUGUUGAUUAAACUAUAAGAGAUUUUUAUAAUUAUUUCUAAGAAUUAACUUGGAAUGCUACCCGCAUCAUAGCAUGGAUGCACUUAAAAACUGCUAUGCUCAUUUGAAAAAAAGAAAAAAAAAGAAAGAAAAGAAAAGUAAAUUAUACUCAAAAUCAUAGUUAAUUAACUUCGAAUCAUAGCAUGGAAGUGGAGAUGUUGCUUCUCAGAAACUUCAAUGCUUUAAUACAGACAGGCAUGGCUAGGUGGGCCUCGCCUCCCUUACCCAACCUCACCCUUUACUUUGAACUUCUUGGCCUAACUCAACUAUUAGUCAACAUUGUAUAACUAACUUUCUCGCCGGCGACACUCUAAAUCAGAGUUAUUUUAAAAUGGGGAAGUGAUUAUAUUUUAUAAUAUUUUUUUAUUUAAAAAUAAAUUAAAAUAAUUUUUUUUAUAAUUUUUUUAAAAAUAUUUUUAAUAUUAGCAUAUCAAAAACAAUUUACAAAUACAAAAAAAAAAUUAAUUUGAAAUAAAAAAAAUAUUUUUUUUUCAAAAAAGUUUUUGAAAUGUAAAAACAAAAAUGCUAUUAAUCUUCUGACAUUAGCCUCUGGUUCUCUUAUUCUAUUUUUCUUUGUUCAAGGCUCAGCUACGUUGCUAGAAUCAUCUGUGAAAUUAUGAAUUAUAUUAUGUUCAAGUUUCCUGGUCAGAUUAUGUUCCUUAAACUGUGUUUAAAAGCUUAUUGACGGUAAUGUUACUAAUGGAAGUACAGGUGAAGUGGAAUAUUUUCAUAAGAAGUCCUCGUAAAAGUACCCAUUUUAUUGAUAGUUUGAAACUAAAUCCAUUUUAUCAUCUUAUGCAAUGUCUUGCAAAAGGAAACUUACUGUACUUCCAUGGAAAUAUAUCUUGAUCUUUCUCAUGAUGAAAGACGGUGACUUGUUUCUGGUAGAAUAUGCGUAUUAGUAUUAAAGAAACAUGUCGAACUAAAAUUAAAUUUAAAUUAUUUGGUGAAAUUUUAAGAUUUAUAUUACUUUUUAGCAUAUUUUUUGAGCUUGUAAUUUUUGCACGGGUUAUUAACUUAUACUAUUAAUUAAUUUUAAUUAAAAUAAAGAAUAAGAAUUGUAAGAUUUGAAUUUGUUUGGUAAUUAAAAUUUUAAUAACAUAUUAAAAAAUUAUUUAAAUUUAAAAAUUUAAACUGUUAAAUAUUACCUUAAGAUAUUAUUUAUUUUAUUUAAUAGGGAAAACCUGUAAUAAAGAGAAUGGGUCAAGAUUCUUGUCUGUGGAUGGAAGUGGAGAUAAAGCAAUUCUGACGGAGGUAAAAGUCACCUCGGAAAGGAGGUUCUGAUGAAAGUGAUGAGUUAAGAUGUGUAUUUACCAAACUCUAGCUCUUGUUACAGUGCUUCCUUUUGUUUUGUUUUUUGUGAGUAAGAUCAAAACUCUCAUGUGGAAGGAGACAGUAGCUGCAUGUUAACGACUAUAGCAUGAUUGAAUCGUAGUUAAAUCCCAAACAAAAAUGAAGAAAUUGUUGUUUUGAUCCAUGAUAACGGAGGGAAACAAUGCUUUGAACUUACUUUAUGUUCCAUCUAUUUUACGAUUUGCUUUUCAUAAAAAGGUAAAAUGCCAGAAACAAUAUUAUAAGGCUCUGAAUUAUCCUCAUUUGAUUCUUUCUUCCUUUUGUUUUCUUACAGGGUGAAAUUCCGGAGUGCUGCUUUUUGCUUUGAGAAGUCAUUGUUUAAAGGAAAAGAUCACAAGAUAAGAAUCUUUUGCCUUGUGAAACUCCAAAUGCUGGACAGCUAGAAUUUUAAAGAGAAUGGGCCAGGAACAAAUUCUUGCCUUCUCUGUUCAAACUUCAAGUCCAGGUUAGAUUAAUUCCAAAGAGUGAGAAAUUGUUUGGUCCUUCUGUUUUUCUAUUUUCCAUAACCAAUCUUGUGUUUCCAUAAAAAUUUCCAGCUCGCUUUCAAAGUCCUCUGCAAUUCUCUUUUCCAUAACCAGUCUCGUGUUUCCUUUAAAAUUUCCUGAACAUAUUUAAAGCCCUUCUUCACUUCUCUUUUCCAUUAACAACCUUGUGUUUUCGUUAAAUUAAAUUUCCUUUCUCAUCCCCAUAACCAAUCUUGCGAUUUCAGUUGUUACCAAGACUCAGAUUUUCCAAAGCAUCACAGGCCAUGGCUGAUGCAAUUGUUUCUUCUCUUGUGAGUCCAAUCCUGGAGAACUUGAGCUUGCAGGCUCUCAAAGAGGCUGGGCUUGCUUGGGGCCUUGACACUGAGCUUGAGAAUCUCGAAAGCACCUUCGCAAUUGUUCAAGCUGUGCUCCAGGAUGCAGAGGAGAAGCAAUGGAAGAACAAGGCUUUAGAGAUUUGGUUAAGACGCCUCAAGGAUGCAGCUUAUGAUGUUGAUGAUGUACUGGAUGACUUUGCAAUUGAAGCUCGAAGGCAUCGGCUGCAAAAAGAUCUAAAAAAUCGACUACGAUCCUUCUUUUCUCUUGAUCAUAAUCCACUUAUUUUUCGAUUGAAAAUGGCGCAUAAGUUGAAAAAUGUGAGAGAGAAACUGGAUGUCAUUGCCAAUGAGAACAAAAAGUUCGAGCUAACAACACGAGUUGGGGACGUAGCAGUAGAUACCUACGAUGGGCGGCAUACAAGCAACAUCCUGAAUGAAUCAAGCUCAGUCGUGAAUGAAUCAGAAAUUUAUGGAAGAGGCAAGGAGAAAGAGGAACUAAUCAACAUCCUGCUCGCUAAUGCAGACGAUCUCCCUAUUUAUGCUAUAUGGGGAAUGGGGGGGCUCGGGAAAACAACACUUGCUCAAAUGGCCUACAAUGAAGAAAGGGUUAAGCAACAAUUCGGUUUGAGGAUAUGGGCGUGUGUCUCUACUGAUUUCGAUGUAAGAAGAAUAACAAAAGCCAUCAUAUAGUCCAUUGAGGGUGCCUCAUGUGAUCUUCAAAAAUUGGAUGACUUGCAACAACGCCUCCAACAAAAGUUAACUGGAAAGAAGUUUUUGCUUGUACUAGAUGAUGUGUGGGAUGAUUAUGAUGAUAGGUGGAAUAAAUUGAAAGAGGUAUUAAGGUCCGGAGCUAAAGGUAGUGCUGUAAUAGUAACUACGCGUAAUGAGAUGGUUACUCGUAGAAUGGCAGCAACUUUUGUCCAGCCCAUGGGGAGAUUGUCUGAAGAAGAUUCUUGGCAUUUGUUUCAACGGCUUGCAUUUGGGAUGAAAAGGACAGAGGAGCGGGCGCAACUGGAAGCCAUUGGAGUAUCAAUAGUGAAGAAGUGUGGUGGUGUUCCAUUAGCUAUAAAGGCACUCGGGAACCUAAUGCGGCUAAAAGAUAAUGAAGAUCAGUGGAUAGCUGUCAAAGAAAGUGAGAUUUGGGAUCUAAGAGAAGAAGCAAGCAAGAUUUUACCUGCUUUGAGGUUGAGUUACACUAAUCUAUCACCACAUUUGAAGCAAUGCUUUGCGUUUUGCGCAAUAUUUCCAAAAGAUCAGGUGAUGAUGAGGGAGGAGCUGAUUGCUUUGUGGAUGGCAAAUGGCUUUAUUUCUUGCAGAAGAGAAAUGAAUUUGCACGUCACGGGUAUUGAGAUAUUCAAUGAACUAGUGGGAAGGUCAUUUCUGCAAGAGGUCGAGGAUGAUGGAUUUGGCAACAUCACAUGUAAAAUGCAUGAUCUUAUGCAUGAUCUCGCACAAUCCAUUGCAGUACAAGAAUGCUAUAUGAGUACAGAAGGCGAUGGGAAGUUGGAAAUUCCUAAAACUGUCCGUCAUGUAGCUUUUUAUAACAAAUCAGUAGCUUCGUCUUCUAAAGGUCUCAAGGUCCUAUCACUUCGCUCACUUCUUUUGAGGAAUAAAUAGUAUUGGAAUGGAUGGGGAAAGAUUCGUGGUCGAAAACAUCGAGCCUUGAGUUUAAGAAAUGUCCGGGCCAAGAAAUUGCCGAAGUCAAUUUGUGAUUUGAAACAUCUAAGGUAUCUAGAUGUAUCAGGCUCCGAGUUCAAAACACUGCCUGAAAGUAUAACCUCACUCCAAAACCUCCAGACACUAGAUCUGAGUUCUUGCGGAGAACUCAUCCAAUUACCAAAAGGUAUGAAGCACAUGAAAAGUCUCGUAUAUCUUGACAUCACGGGUUGCUAUUCACUUCGAUUUAUGCCUUGUGGAAUGGGGCAAUUGAUAUGCCUGCGAAAACUUACCCUGUUCAUUGGGGGUGGGGAGAAUGGUUGUCGCAUAAGUGAGCUGGAAGGGCUGAAUAAUCUUGCUGGUGAAUGAGUAUCGCAGAUCUUGUGAAUGUUAAGAAUUUAAAAGAUGCCACAAGUGCCAAUUUGAAGUUGAAGACAGCUAUUUUAUCACUGACUUUAUCUUGGCAUGGUAAUGGAAAUUACCUUUUUAACCCUCGGUCAUUUGUGCCACCGCAACAAAGAAAGAGUGUUAUUUAGGUAAAUAACGAGGAGGUCCUUGGAGGGCUUCAACCUCAUUCAAAUCUGAAGAAGUUGAGGAUAUGUGGAUAUGGAAGUUCAAGAUUUCCUAAUUGGAUGAUGAACUUGAACAUGACGCUACCAAAUCUGGUAGAGAUGGAGCUAUCAGCAUUUCCCAACUGUGAACAACUUCCACCAUUGGGGAAACUACAGUUGCUCAAGAGUCUUAAAUUAUGGGGAAUGGAUGGUGUGAAGAGUAUUGACAGCAAUGUGUAUGGAGAUGGGCAGAAUCCAUUCCCAUCGUUGGAGACGCUGACUUUCUAUUCAAUGGAGGGAUUAGAGCAAUGGGCUGCGUGUACUUUUCCUCGCCUUCGAGAAUUGAGGGUAGCUUGUUGCCCUGUGUUGAACGAAAUACCAAUUAUACCCUCCGUCAAAUCAUUAGAGAUCCGGCGAGGUAAUGCUUCGUCGCUGAUGUCAGUUAGGAAUCUCACUUCUAUCACUUCUCUUCGUAUUAAAGGGAUUGACGAUGUGAGGGAGCUUCCCGAUGGGUUUUUGCAAAAUCAUACCCUCCUUGAAAGCCUAGAAAUUGAUGGGAUGCCAGAUCUGGAGUCUUUGUCAAAUAGGGUAUUAGAUAACCUUUCUGCUCUUAAAAGCUUGACUAUUUUGGGUUGCGGGAAACUUGAAAGCUUGCCAGAGGAAGGUCUUCGUAACCUCAAUUCCCUGGAGGUUUUAAACAUAAUGCUUUGUGGAAGAUUAAAUUGUCUGCCAAUGAAUGGGCUGUGUGGCUUAUCUUCUCUUCGCAAGUUAUAUGUUUUAGGUUGUGAUAAAUUCACAUCUCUAUCCGAGGGAGUGCGGCAUCUGACAGCGCUUGAGGAUUUGGAGCUUUAUGGAUGUCCAGAGCUGAAUUCAUUGCCAGAGAGUAUCCAACAUCUCACUUCUCUCCAAUCUCUAAUAAUUAGGGGUUGUCCAAAUUUAAAGAAAAGGUGUGAGAAAGAUUUAGGAGAGGACUGGCCUAAGAUAGCUCACAUCCCUCACAUUAGUAUCGAUUUCAAUAGAAUCAAUUAAAAUUGAUAUGCAAAAUUUGUAAUGAGAAUAAAAUAUAUUUGUUCGUAGUUUUAAUUUGUUGUAAAUGUUUAAAUAAUUUUCUCAAAUUGAUUGUUGUUUUAUUCUUCAUAUAAAUGUGUAAAAAUGAUUGGUUCAUUAUUCUUCAUAUAAAUAUAUAAUAAGUAGUUUGUUUGGUCCAAGAGAUAUAAUCCUUUUA
RNAcentral lists this long non-coding RNA (9705 nucleotides) under Populus trichocarpa (black cottonwood). Its description in RNAcentral is "long non-coding RNA (PTRI_LNC003915)". Lineage: Eukaryota; Viridiplantae; Streptophyta; Magnoliopsida; Malpighiales; Salicaceae. The record is from RNAcentral.